CACUUGACUGCCCCGGGGUUCCUUCUCCCCACGUACCGUCGGUCUCAAAUUCCUAAAGCCAGGUGAUGGAAGAAUUUAUUCGUGGAGAGCUACGCCAAGCGCACCGUAUUCGGAAAAAAACAUGUGGUGAAGGGUUAGUGGGCAAUCAUGAUUGCUGCUGAUAUAAUUUAGGUGAGGUUUGCAAGAGCAUGAGUGAUGGAUGCGUUGAACCCCAAUGUAAGGAAACAGAAAUAAUAUCUGAAGAUUUUAAUUCCAGUUAUUACAUUUUAAUUUGAAAUGCACAUUUUACAGCAAUUAAAAAGCGAGCCAUCCAUCUAAA
Long non-coding RNA from Bombyx mori (domestic silkworm), 319 nucleotides. RefSeq lists it as uncharacterized. The transcript has 2 exons. NCBI's taxonomy places the organism in Eukaryota, Metazoa, Arthropoda, Insecta, Lepidoptera, Bombycidae. The record is from RefSeq and is a predicted model, not a curated record.